CUACGGGGGGCAGCAGUGAGGAAUUUUCCGCAAUGGGCGAAAGCCUGACGGAGCGACGCCGUGUGGGUGAUGAAGGCCUUCGGGUCUUAAAGCCCUGUCAGCAGGAAAGAUAUUGACGGUACCUGCAGAGGAAGCCCCGGCUAACUACGUGCCAGCAGCCGCGGUAAGACGUAGGGGGCAAGCGUUGUCCGGAAUUAUUGGGCGUAAAGUGCAUGUAGGCGGCUUUGUAAGUCAGAUGUUAAAUCCCCCGGCUUAACCGGGGUCCGCAUUUGAUACUGCAAAGCUCGAGAAAUGUAGAGGAAAGCGGAAUUUCCGGUGUAGCGGUGAAAUGCGUAGAUAUCGGAAAGAACACCAGUGGCGAAGGCGGCUCUCUGGACAUUUUCUGACGCUGAUAUGCGAAAGCUAAGGGAGCAAACGGGAUUAGAUACCCUUGUAGUC
Molecule: ribosomal RNA, 438 nt
Filed under: uncultured bacterium
Lineage: Bacteria
Description: partial 16S ribosomal RNA
Rfam family: Bacterial small subunit ribosomal RNA
Source: RNAcentral